AUGAAUGUGUCUUUUGUCCAGCUCGGCCGCCUCGGAUCUCACUGCCACCGGCCUUCACGCACACCCUCGCCACCAGCCUUUGCCCCGUCAGCCUCAGCCCCAGCUCAUUCUCUCAGGCAGUCCCAGCAUUGGCAUGGUACCUCCUCCCGCCGUGGGCCUCACGUCUCUGCUCCCUGUCAACCCUACUGCCAUCAGCAUCACCACAAGCGACUUGUCUGCCCAGGAGGAUGCAACACCAUCUACCUCUACCGGCCACCUUUCAGUGUUUUCUGCUUUCCAAGUAAAGACACCAGCAGUGCCCUCAGAGCGGACCAGCCAGAGAUUUUCCGAAGCCUCCCAUAUAGGCUCCUCCGUGGAGGAGGCCUGAGAUGCUGUCAUGACUUUGGAGCCAGGGUGGCCGACCACCUUGGCCUGGCCAUCUUUGGGGUGGGCUUUGGGAGCCCAGCACUGCUGCCGAGUGUGGUGGAUGAGAACGGCUGCUGCUUGCUGUACGUGGUGGAGCUGUGUGGCGUGGAGCGAGCCUUCAGAGCUGAGCAUUUGACCAACACCAGAGUGGUUCGGGAACAGGAUGCGGACAUUGUCCUCAACGACCAGCGGUACGGUUUCAGUUGUCAGCAGAGGUUCACUGAACACCUGCUGUGUGCCGGGCACCGUCCUGGGGGCUGGAGAAAUGGCUCUGAAUGCUGCAAAGCCCCCAUCCUUGUGCUGCUGAAUUGGGUGCAGAGGCAGCUGAGUAGAUCUCAAUACAUCAGUAGCAAUAAACUCUGUGGAGAGAACUCACGCCGUCGGGAGAGGGAGGCUGGUGGGAGCGCUGUUUUAGGGAAGGGGGUGCUUUGCGAGAGGCUGCCGAGUUUGAAUUGUCAGGCUGCCCAGUCCUGCUUCGACGAAGCCGACGGACGUGGAAAGCCUUUGGUCUGUGGAUUUUACAACUCCUCUCCCAGGCGCUUUGAUCCGGCUUUCCAGUUCUUGCACAAACAAGUUUGUGUCGGCCACGCCCUGGGGAGGAUCCACGGGAUCACCGCCAUCAGCAGCCUGUUCCCAGCAGCCUCUCUGGCUUCCCUAAAGAGGGCAGGUGGGAUUUUCCACAACGCUGCUGUGCGCGGCGUGGAUGCCACAUGCAUGUUGCUGGGGGACGCCACUUCGGACACUGUUUUCUCUGGGACAUGCCUUCUGCCCAGAUAUGGCUGCCUUAAAAGAUGCAGACACUGUUAUGAUCAGCAUGAAGUUUCCCUGUGGGGCUAUGGUCAGCGUGGACGUCAGCCAGCACCGUACAGACAGCUGUGACCAGGGAUUGGAGGUGCGUGGGUCCCAAGGCGCGCUGCAGAUGGAGAAUCAGAAUCCCUUGGGCAUCACCGGGCGGGGCACGUCCCUGUCCCUCGGCUCCCAGACCCAGGCUAGCCGCUACCAGGACUCGUAUCGAGAGCUCUUCAGCUACUUUGUCAGAACCCUUAAAG
RNAcentral lists this long non-coding RNA (1454 nucleotides) under Papio anubis (olive baboon). Its description in RNAcentral is "lncRNA (ENSPANG00000040359.1)". Lineage: Eukaryota; Metazoa; Chordata; Mammalia; Primates; Cercopithecidae. The record is from RNAcentral.